UACGGAGGGUGCAAGCGUUGUCCGGAAUCACUGGGCGUAAAGGGCGCGUAGGUGGCCCGUUAAGUGGCUGGUGAAAUCCCGCGGCUCAACUGCGGGGCUGCCGGUCAGACUGGCGAGCUAGAGCACGGUAGGGGCAGAUGGAAUUCCCGGUGUAGCGGUGGAAUGCGUAGAGAUCGGGAAGAAUACCAGUGGCGAAGGCGUUCUGCUGGGCCGUUGCUGACACUGAGGCGCGACAGCGUGGGGAGCAAACAGG
This 253-nucleotide ribosomal RNA is filed under the name uncultured bacterium. Its description in RNAcentral is "partial 16S ribosomal RNA". It matches the Rfam family "Bacterial small subunit ribosomal RNA", at positions 524 to 776 of the family's 1533-position model. The record is from RNAcentral.